AAACUCUUUGUUUUUAGAACGUAUCUCUUCUGAGUGUUUAUAACAAACAAAUGAAUCAAAACUUUCAACAACGGAUCUCUUGGUUCUGGCAUCGAUGAAGAACGCAGCGAAAUGCGAUAAGUAAUGUGAAUUGCAGAAUUCAGUGAAUCAUCGAAUCUUUGAACGCACAUUGCGCCCGCUGGAAUUCCAGCGGGCAUGCCUGUUCGAGCGUCAUU
RNAcentral lists this ribosomal RNA (215 nucleotides) under Chrysoporthe cubensis. RNAcentral describes it as "5.8S ribosomal RNA". The stretch from base 60 to 213 matches the Rfam family "5.8S ribosomal RNA". From Rfam's summary of the family: 5.8S ribosomal RNA (5.8S rRNA) is a component of the large subunit of the eukaryotic ribosome. It is transcribed by RNA polymerase I as part of the 45S precursor that also contains 18S and 28S rRNA. Functionally, it is thought that 5.8S rRNA may be involved in ribosome translocation. Lineage: Eukaryota; Fungi; Ascomycota; Sordariomycetes; Diaporthales; Cryphonectriaceae. The record is from RNAcentral.